CUUCAACGUGCCGGUCGUCUGUGUGAGCUGCUUGAUCGUGUGUUUUUGUGUUUGCUGUAAUGAAAUGGGACGUAGUUAGCGUGCACAAAAGUGCCAGAAGAUACAUUGUGUCUCGCUGCAAACUCGGCGUAUGCGUGGCGCGCUAGGCAAACAUGGAACAACGAUUUUUGUGCCGUGGCCUUUGUGUCUUGUCAUGAAAAGUUCGGUGGACAUCGCAAAGAAAUAAUUCCUAUUGGUAGCGUGCCUCAGAUCGUCCACUACGCAGCGGCAUGUAUGCUGGGAGUAACAUCGUCGACGCAGCACCGGCAACUUGGAGAGCGUCGUGCCAUUGAAAAGCAGUGUCCACGUGAUGGCAGGGAACCUGUGGCCAUGGCUACAGCAGAACAGCGUGUAAUCUGGAUGUCAGGUGAACGAUCUUAUCUGGCCUGAAGUCCUAUGGCGGCAAUGCACGACCGCAUUGGGGAGGCUGAGGUUCAGGGUAAGAGCCUUUAUGGAAAGGGCAGUAACAGGCACAAGGAGGACCCAGUGAAGGAGGAAUUGGACCCAGUUCAUCUGAAUGCUGUAAUUGGUUACAUCCUCCAGCAAGUUCACGACGACAACUGUGCAGCUCAAAAGCAGCCUGUCCUCCAUGCUAAGCAGGGAGAUUAAGUAGCCUGGAAAGCAGAUGGUCCUGUAAUUACAGGGUGUUCUUUUUAGCUGCACCAAAUUUUUAAAAUUAGAAAUAUAUAUAUCUUGGUCACGUUAGGUUUACCAUUCGAGUGUACGGAUUGGCGGCCUCUAGAUACAGAGCAAUUUAGUCACUUAAGUGUGUAAUUAGUGAAGUUAAGCUAAUUAACUUUCUAAUUAUCAACUAUAGGUGGCUACAGCAAAUGAGUACUUUGGGGCCCGUCGUCGACACUACCUAUUCCAACGAUCACAUUUUGAAUAGAGGAGUUCAUGUGGGAGCUACACGAACAAUUAGUUCCCCUUGGCAGGCUCCUUGAAACCGAAACUGCCCGCAAAAAGAGCGUCUGUGUCGUCGAUGUCACUGCCCCCAUGCAUUUCGUAACAUCUCCGAGGUAAGCGCCAGUUCGGCCCCGCGAGCAGCUUGCAUUAUUGCUAUCUGCGGCGUUCGCAGUCGACGCUACAGAUUGAUAUGAUGCCGUGCCUGCAGUAUCUAAAAGCCCAAUUUAAGGAGCAGGGUUGGCGCUACAGCGAAACAUGGUGCUCAACAGAAUGACGAUGUAAAUUUGGCGGCCCACCGGCAUUGAAGCGCUAGGCCAACGCUGCAGACAUCAAGGAGAUAACGCAAGCUGCUCGUUGGGCUGGAC
This is a long non-coding RNA of Dermacentor silvarum, 1310 nucleotides long. RefSeq lists it as uncharacterized. The record is from RefSeq and is a predicted model, not a curated record. The transcript has 4 exons. NCBI's taxonomy places the organism in Eukaryota, Metazoa, Arthropoda, Arachnida, Ixodida, Ixodidae.